RNAcentral lists this transfer RNA (75 nucleotides) under Gammaproteobacteria bacterium. RNAcentral's name for it is "tRNA-Gly". It matches the Rfam family "tRNA". Rfam says of the family: Transfer RNA (tRNA) molecules are approximately 80 nucleotides in length. The record is from RNAcentral. Lineage: Bacteria; Pseudomonadati; Pseudomonadota; Gammaproteobacteria.
GCGGGUGUCGUAUAGUGGUUAUUACUCCAGCUUCCCAAGCUGGUAAGGAGGGUUCGAUUCCCUUCACCCGCUCCA